This 513-nucleotide ribosomal RNA is filed under the name uncultured bacterium. RNAcentral's name for it is "partial 16S ribosomal RNA". It matches the Rfam family "Bacterial small subunit ribosomal RNA", at positions 28 to 523 of the family's 1533-position model. The record is from RNAcentral.
GACGAACGCUGGCGGCGUGCCUAAUACAUGCAAGUAGAACGCUGAAGAGAGGAGCUUGCUCUUCUUGGAAGAGUUGCGAACGGGUGAGUAACGCGUAGGUAACCUGCCUUGUAGCGGGGGAUAACUAUUGGAAACGAUAGCUAAUACCGCAUAACAAUGGAUGACCCAUGUCAUUGAUUUGAAAGGGGCAACUGCUCCACUACCAGAUGGACCUGCGUUGUAUUAGCUAGUAGGUGAGGUAACGGCUCACCUAGGCGACGAUACAUAGCCGACCUGAGAGGGUGAUCGGCCACACUGGGACUGAGACACGGCCCAGACUCCUACGGGAGGCAGCAGUAGGGAAUCUUCGGCAAUGGGGGCAACCCUGACCGAGCAACGCCGCGUGAGUGAAGAAGGUUUUCGGAUCGUAAAGCUCUGUUGUAAGUCAAGAACGAGUGUGAGAGUGGAAAGUUCACACUGUGACGGUAGCUUACCAGAAAGGGACGGCUAACUACGUGCCAGCAGCCGCAGUAA